RNAcentral lists this ribosomal RNA (2900 nucleotides) under Shigella flexneri K-404. Its description in RNAcentral is "bacterial LSU rRNA". It matches the Rfam family "Bacterial large subunit ribosomal RNA". The record is from RNAcentral. Lineage: Bacteria; Pseudomonadati; Pseudomonadota; Gammaproteobacteria; Enterobacterales; Enterobacteriaceae.
UUAAGCGACUAAGCGUACACGGUGGAUGCCCUGGCAGUCAGAGGCGAUGAAGGACGUGCUAAUCUGCGAUAAGCGUCGGUAAGGUGAUAUGAACCGUUAUAACCGGCGAUUUCCGAAUGGGGAAACCCAGUGUGAUUCGUCACACUAUCAUUAACUGAAUCCAUAGGUUAAUGAGGCGAACCGGGGGAACUGAAACAUCUAAGUACCCCGAGGAAAAGAAAUCAACCGAGAUUCCCCCAGUAGCGGCGAGCGAACGGGGAGCAGCCCAGAGCCUGAAUCAGUGUGUGUGUUAGUGGAAGCGUCUGGAAAGGCGUGCGAUACAGGGUGACAGCCCCGUACACAAAAAUGCACAUACUGUGAGCUCGAUGAGUAGGGCGGGACACGUGGUAUCCUGUCUGAAUAUGGGGGGACCAUCCUCCAAGGCUAAAUACUCCUGACUGACCGAUAGUGAACCAGUACCGUGAGGGAAAGGCGAAAAGAACCCCGGCGAGGGGAGUGAAAAAGAACCUGAAACCGUGUACGUACAAGCAGUGGGAGCACGCUUAGGCGUGUGACUGCGUACCUUUUGUAUAAUGGGUCAGCGACUUAUAUUCUGUAGCAAGGUUAACCGAAUAGGGGAGCCGAAGGGAAACCGAGUCUUAACUGGGCGUUAAGUUGCAGGGUAUAGACCCGAAACCCGGUGAUCUAGCCAUGGGCAGGUUGAAGGUUGGGUAACACUAACUGGAGGACCGAACCGACUAAUGUUGAAAAAUUAGCGGAUGACUUGUGGCUGGGGGUGAAAGGCCAAUCAAACCGGGAGAUAGCUGGUUCUCCCCGAAAGCUAUUUAGGUAGCGCCUCGUGAAUUCAUCUCCGGGGGUAGAGCACUGUUUCGGCAAGGGGGUCAUCCCGACUUACCAACCCGAUGCAAACUGCGAAUACCGGAGAAUGUUAUCACGGGAGACACACGGCGGGUGCUAACGUCCGUCGUGAAGAGGGAAACAACCCAGACCGCCAGCUAAGGUCCCAAAGUCAUGGUUAAGUGGGAAACGAUGUGGGAAGGCCCAGACAGCCAGGAUGUUGGCUUAGAAGCAGCCAUCAUUUAAAGAAAGCGUAAUAGCUCACUGGUCGAGUCGGCCUGCGCGGAAGAUGUAACGGGGCUAAACCAUGCACCGAAGCUGCGGCAGCGACGCUUAUGCGUUGUUGGGUAGGGGAGCGUUCUGUAAGCCUGUGAAGGUGUGCUGUGAGGUAUGCUGGAGGUAUCAGAAGUGCGAAUGCUGACAUAAGUAACGAUAAAGCGGGUGAAAAGCCCGCUCGCCGGAAGACCAAGGGUUCCUGUCCAACGUUAAUCGGGGCAGGGUGAGUCGACCCCUAAGGCGAGGCCGAAAGGCGUAGUCGAUGGGAAACAGGUUAAUAUUCCUGUACUUGGUGUUACUGCGAAGGGGGGACGGAGAAGGCUAUGUUGGCCGGGCGACGGUUGUCCCGGUUUAAGCGUGUAGGCUGGUUUUCCAGGCAAAUCCGGAAAAUCAAGGCCGAGGCGUGAUGACGAGGCACUACGGUGCUGAAGCAACAAAUGCCCUGCUUCCAGGAAAAGCCUCUAAGCAUCAGGUAACAUCAAAUCGUACCCCAAACCGACACAGGUGGUCAGGUAGAGAAUACCAAGGCGCUUGAGAGAACUCGGGUGAAGGAACUAGGCAAAAUGGUGCCGUAACUUCGGGAGAAGGCACGCUGAUACGUAGGUGAAGCGACUUGCUCGUGGAGCUGAAAUCAGUCGAAGAUACCAGCUGGCUGCAACUGUUUAUUAAAAACACAGCACUGUGCAAACACGAAAGUGGACGUAUACGGUGUGACGCCUGCCCGGUGCCGGAAGGUUAAUUGAUGGGGUUAGCGCAAGCGAAGCUCUUGAUCGAAGCCCCGGUAAACGGCGGCCGUAACUAUAACGGUCCUAAGGUAGCGAAAUUCCUUGUCGGGUAAGUUCCGACCUGCACGAAUGGCGUAAUGAUGGCCAGGCUGUCUCCACCCGAGACUCAGUGAAAUUGAACUCGCUGUGAAGAUGCAGUGUACCCGCGGCAAGACGGAAAGACCCCGUGAACCUUUACUAUAGCUUGACACUGAACAUUGAGCCUUGAUGUGUAGGAUAGGUGGGAGGCUUUGAAGUGUGGACGCCAGUCUGCAUGGAGCCGACCUUGAAAUACCACCCUUUAAUGUUUGAUGUUCUAACGUGGACCCGUGAUCCGGGUUGCGGACAGUGUCUGGUGGGUAGUUUGACUGGGGCGGUCUCCUCCUAAAGAGUAACGGAGGAGCACGAAGGUUGGCUAAUCCUGGUCGGACAUCAGGAGGUUAGUGCAAUGGCAUAAGCCAGCUUGACUGCGAGCGUGACGGCGCGAGCAGGUGCGAAAGCAGGUCAUAGUGAUCCGGUGGUUCUGAAUGGAAGGGCCAUCGCUCAACGGAUAAAGGUACUCCGGGGAUAACAGGCUGAUACCGCCAAGAGUUCAUAUCGACGGCGGUGUUUGGCACCUCGAUGUCGGCUCAUCACAUCCUGGGGCUGAAGUAGGUCCCAAGGGUAUGGCUGUUCGCCAUUUAAAGUGGUACGCGAGCUGGGUUUAGAACGUCGUGAGACAGUUCGGUCCCUAUCUGCCGUGGGCGCUGGAGAACUGAGGGGGGCUGCUCCUAGUACGAGAGGACCGGAGUGGACGCAUCACUGGUGUUCGGGUUGUCAUGCCAAUGGCACUGCCCGGUAGCUAAAUGCGGAAGAGAUAAGUGCUGAAAGCAUCUAAGCACGAAACUUGCCCCGAGAUGAGUUCUCCCUGACCCUUUAAGGGUCCUGAAGGAACGUUGAAGACGACGACGUUGAUAGGCCGGGUGUGUAAGCGCAGCGAUGCGUUGAGCUAACCGGUACUAAUGAACCGUGAGGCUUAACCUU